UUUCGUUUGCCCCUUCCCAUCCAACGCUCCGUGUGGGUUGUUGGAGGGCCACAUAGUAGUCCCCGUGUUCCACGAGAGCGUCGUGUUGGCGUCGGCUCCCAAGGCCCAUGGGGAUCUACUGGUCUCUUGGAUGCGGUCUACGUUGUGGUCGUGUGACUGAUGUCACAUUCGCCCAUACAAAAAUUCGGUUUGCCUGAAUGAUGUCCGUGCUUGCGUCGAUUCGCCUUGCCCCGGCUCGGUGAUCUCGUGCAACGCCCGGCAUCACAAAGGGAUGCUACCUGGUUGAUCCUGCCAGUAGUCAAUGCUUGUCUCA
RNAcentral lists this unclassified non-coding RNA (313 nucleotides) under Leonardoxa africana. Its description in RNAcentral is "partial contains external transcribed spacer and 18S ribosomal RNA". The record is from RNAcentral. Lineage: Eukaryota; Viridiplantae; Streptophyta; Magnoliopsida; Fabales; Fabaceae.